GCGGCGAGAAGAGGGGAAGAAGAGAGGGGGGGCAGAGCUUUAUAGUAACGCGGUCGGGGCACUUCGGGAAGGUCGGGACGAGGAGAUUGCGGCGGAAAUGGUAGGCGGCGCCGCGGACGCGGGCGCUUUCCUUACCAGGAAGACGACCCUAACGCGUGGGUCCCACGCGUCAGUGGCUCGGCGCAGGUGCGCGUGGCACUGUGCCGGCUCGGUCCGGUCCAGGCGCGCGGAACAAGGCUGGUUCGGCCCAUUUGGCCGGGCCGGUCCGGUUUUCUCCCUUUUUUUCUUUUAGCCUUUUCUUUUUCUGUUUUUCUUAUUUCUUUGAUAUCUUUUGAUUUUGAAAUCCAAAUUGGUCCAAAUAAAUUCCAGAAAAUUUCUAAAAUAUGUUCUAUCAUGAUACAACUUUUGGGAGUUGUUUCCCCUCAAAAUAAAAUAUAUAAAAAUACAUUUUCCCUAUAAAUGCCUUUAGGGCUAUAUAUCUAUUUAAAUAAAAUACUUUUUCAACUCCAAAUAAUUAUCCAAAAAUUAUGGGAUAGCUCAUUUAUGCAAUAAACCCCCUUUCAUAAAUAAACUUUAUUGGUUUGAAGAUCC
RNAcentral lists this long non-coding RNA (591 nucleotides) under Brachypodium distachyon (stiff brome). RNAcentral's name for it is "long non-coding RNA (BDIS_LNC005416)". The record is from RNAcentral. Lineage: Eukaryota; Viridiplantae; Streptophyta; Magnoliopsida; Poales; Poaceae.